This 2198-nucleotide long non-coding RNA is filed under the name Homo sapiens (human). Its description in RNAcentral is "HSALNT0337800". Lineage: Eukaryota; Metazoa; Chordata; Mammalia; Primates; Hominidae. The record is from RNAcentral.
UAUUGGUUGUUUCCCUGGAGAGCCGUGACUUGUACACACCCUGUUCUUAUUCUGUCACAAUGCCUGUUACAACAUCUCAGCACUGGCCAUUUAACUGCAUCUCCUACUGAGCUGGAAGCUCUGGUGGAUAGGGGCAGGUCUGCUCAUUCACUGCUGCCUUCCCUGCACCUGGUACCAUGCACACAGAAUAAGCCUAGCAGAAUGCCUGUGGAUGGACUGACCAAUGAAAGUAAUGAGGUGCUGGGACCCGAAGGCUGAGUGGCAUGAGUCAUGAGGAGGCAUAGGUGGAGUUGGAGGUGGGAGGAGGAUGAUGUAGCAAAGGGCCAGGCGGGUUCAGGCACGUUCCUGGCGGAAGGUGCUCUGAUGCUGUGGAAGACAGUUUCUUCAUGGAUUCCAACUGCUUGAUUUGUGGGAAUGACUCAACCAUGCCUGUUCUCCCCCACCUUUGAUGAGGCAUCUGACACUGAGUUAAUUCAUUUGCAUGGUGUAGACUAUAGUAAAUCCAGUGUUGGGACACUGUGUCAUCUUCUUUCUGAUUAUGAUGGUAACAAACGCUUGCCAUAGGAGACUGGAAAAAUCUAUCCUAUAGGAAUAUUGGAAAAUCUAUCCUGUAGGAAGAAAGAAAAAACUCACCUAAACUUGUACCACACACUGUCAAAUCUGGGCACUUUUCCUUCUUUUUGUCUUUUUCCCCCUAAAGCCACAGGCGUUUAAAAACAACCUGAGCAUGAGUCAGCCUGUCUGUCCACAUCUACAUACAUGUGAUCGAGGCCCUCAUCUUGCAGAUACAGAUCUAUUCUCUUGCAGAGACUCAACCUUGGACAAUAUCAUUGCUUUCCACUGCAAUAUUCAUUACUCCAUCAACAAAUUUUUAUUUUUUAUUCUUUUGAGACAAGGUCUCACCCUGUUUCACAGGCUGGAGUGCAGUGGUGCAAUCAUGGCUCACUACAACCCAAACUCCUGGGCUCAAGUGAUCCUCCUGCCUCAGCCUCCUUAGUAGCUGGGAUCACAAGUAUGCACCACCAUGCCCAGCUAAUUUUUUUUCUUUUUCUUUUUUUGUAAAGAUGGAGGCCUCGCUUUAUUGCUCAGGCUGGUCUCAAACUCCUGAGCUCAAGCAAUUCUCCCGCCUUGGCCUCCCAAAGUGCUGGGAUUAUAGGCGUGAGCCACUGUGUCCAGCCAGAAAGUUCUAUUUUGUAUAGCUAGCUUAACAAAACUGCUGCAGUGCUAGCCCCUAUUCUUAGUCUAUUGCCCAUCUGGCCUCCACUAUCUGGAAGAUAGACAGAAGAGCCCACAACCUUCUCCAGACAACAAAGAAACUGGCCGGUGAAAUCAUCAAGAGGCUAGCUGGCGUCUGGGGGGUGUGAGGGAGUGCAUUGCAUUAAUGAAGUCUUUUUAUUCUUGGAAAAGUGUUUGGACAAAGGCUGUGCUAUGCGUAUGGCGUCUCUGCAGCUCCUGGACAUAUGCUCUGACUGUGCUACUUCUGCACACGAAAGGUCAGCAUAUGGCUUCCUUUCUCUUUCCCCGAGGAAAGUGACAGGCUGGUCAUGGAUGCCUCACCUGCUGUUGCUCUCGCUCUGGAGAAAGAAGUGUUGGAGGCAUCACUGCCAGUAAAUCUUCACUGGGCUCCCAGCAGGCCUGGCCUAGCUUGACCCCUUCAUGGGUAACAGCAGAAGGCCACCUGCUGCUCCGCGGCUGAGCAACCAAACAGCACAGCUGCUGAGGUUAGGGUUUGAGGUGAAAUAUAGCCACACACAUCUCCCAGGGUCACACGUGGGUAGCCUCAAAGGGCAAAUAGGUCUUGAAAUGAUGGUCUCAGGGGAGAAACCACUUCCAUGGCCUGUUCUCGAGCUGUCCAGCUUGGCAGGGUGAGAAAAGUCUGCAAUGAAUGGCCUUCCUGGGUCUUUCCGUCAGAGCAGCCUGGAGUGUGUGCUGAAGGUGAAACAGCCACCCCAGCGCUUCUCCUCCUCCUCCACACUCCUUCGUCCUUUUAGGUCCCUUGCCCUACCUUUGUCCUUGUUAUUGCUGACAGUCAGAGCAUCCAGGAAACAGAGCUGGGAAAGAAAGAAACCAGAAGGGAGGAGAGGGGCCUAAGAUUGAGGGUUUGGAGAACAGAUUAAUGCUAUGACCUUCAGCCGCCUGGGGACAAAAAGCACCUUCCAGAGAGAAGCCAUUGAGCAGUCGCUGACGUUGCAUCCAUC